RNAcentral lists this ribosomal RNA (472 nucleotides) under uncultured bacterium. RNAcentral describes it as "bacterial SSU rRNA". It matches the Rfam family "Bacterial small subunit ribosomal RNA", at positions 355 to 825 of the family's 1533-position model. The record is from RNAcentral.
UGGGGAAUUUUGGACAAUGGGCGAAAGCCUGAUCCAGCAAUGCCGCGUGAGUGAAGAAGGCCUUCGGGUUGUAAAGCUCUUUUGUCAGGGAAGAAACGGUGAGAGCUAAUAUCUCUUGCUAAUGACGGUACCUGAAGAAUAAGCACCGGCUAACUACGUGCCAGCAGCCGCGGUAAUACGUAGGGUGCAAGCGUUAAUCGGAAUUACUGGGCGUAAAGCGUGCGCAGGCGGUUUUGUAAGUCUGAUGUGAAAUCCCCGGGCUCAACCUGGGAAUUGCAUUGGAGACUGCAAGGCUAGAAUCUGGCAGAGGGGGGUAGAAUUCCACGUGUAGCAGUGAAAUGCGUAGAUAUGUGGAGGAACACCGAUGGCGAAGGCAGCCCCCUGGGUCAAGAUUGACGCUCAUGCACGAAAGCGUGGGGAGCAAACAGGAUUAGAUACCCGAGUAGUCCCUGAGCGGGCUGGCAAGGCGCAU